RNAcentral lists this long non-coding RNA (545 nucleotides) under Populus tremula. RNAcentral's name for it is "long non-coding RNA (PTRE_LNC002646)". The record is from RNAcentral. Lineage: Eukaryota; Viridiplantae; Streptophyta; Magnoliopsida; Malpighiales; Salicaceae.
GCAAACUUUACAUUGAAUUUAGCAACGGAAAAUCCGUUGCUAAUUAAAAAAAUAAUUAUUUAAAUUUUAAUAUAAACCCAUUGCCUCGUUUCAUGUGUUGUUUUCUUUGUUAUUUACUCCACCUUUGUUGAGCAGCUCUAUCAUUCGAGAGAGAGAGAGAAAGAGAGAGAGAGAGAGAAAGAGAGAGCAUCAAGCUAUUUUACCAUAACAGGAAGGAGGGUAGGUCUGUAGAAGAUGUAUGGAGAUGGAAAGGAGGCAUCUUAGCAUCUGGGUUUGCUGAUCAGAGAAGGUAAGAAUAAUUAACAAGGAGAAGGGUUCGCUCUCAUUUUCUGUGCUCUCUUUGUCCUUGUUACUUCCCAUCCCAUAAUUUAUUUCCUUUCAAGCUGCUCCUUCCUUUUCCUUUUCAGAUGAGGAAUGGAUGAGAUGCACAAAAUUGCAAAAACCUAUGUACGUUAUGUUGGAUUUCAAAGCUGCUCCUUCCUUUUCCUUUUCAAAGCUGCUCCUGUCACAAGAACAAAACCAACCUUGCCUCUCCUGUCAACAUC